CUAAAUUUUAUAGAAAAGUGGGGCGGAUGUAGCCWAGUGGAUCAAGGCAGUNGAUUGUGAAUCCACC
This 67-nucleotide transfer RNA is filed under the name Symphytum asperum. RNAcentral describes it as "partial tRNA-His". The record is from RNAcentral. Lineage: Eukaryota; Viridiplantae; Streptophyta; Magnoliopsida; Boraginales; Boraginaceae.